RNA transcript from Dermacentor silvarum, 849 nucleotides. RefSeq lists it as uncharacterized. NCBI's taxonomy places the organism in Eukaryota, Metazoa, Arthropoda, Arachnida, Ixodida, Ixodidae. The record is from RefSeq and is a predicted model, not a curated record. The transcript is spliced from 4 exons.
CCUAUGCCUCCACAGCUGGACACAGAACUCUGCAACUGCACAUUGUAAUAUCAGCAACAGAGGAAAGGGACUACCGCUUCAGUUGGAGGUGCUCUUGCUUACAGUUAGAGGUGCUAUAGUUGGAGGUACUACGGCAGUUACGACAAUGCUGCGGGUAUCACCGAAACAUCAUACAACCAUGACCGGAGUGACCAUACCUGGAAUGAUACUUGGAAUCAUACUUACAGCAACGCUGUUUGUGGGGAAUGCGGAGACCACUGGCUGGACCUGUGGAGAGCGACCCGAGGGAUGUCAAGUGGCAGCACAAGGGCAUGGAGUAACUCGAUAUUUCUUCUACAUCUCGAAUAGAACUUGCUACAGCAAGUACGUUCGGAAUUGUGAAGGCUAUGGAGCAGAUAGUAUGCUUAAAUGUACUCUACAUUGCGGGCACACAAAGUAGAGAUUUACUUUUCGUGCCGUGAAAUACAAUCGCAAAUGAUCAGGAUACCAUUAAAGCGCUUUACCAGUAAUUCCAAGAAGUCUGGCAUCAUUAAUUGUGCUAAAGUUUUAUUACUUCAAAACACGUCUCCACCCGCCGCGAUAUCGUAGUGGCUUUGACAUUGCGCUGCUAAGACCGAGAUCCAGUUUGAAAUCCCGUACCACGGCGGUGGCAUUUCAUUGGAGGCGGAAUGCAACGACGCCGGGGUAUUGUGCAUUGGGUGAACGUUAAAGAUCUCCAGGUGGUCAAAUUUAAUCCUGAGUCCUGCACAAUGGCGUGCCUCAAUGAUAUCGUGGUUUUCGCAUGUAAAACCUAAGAAUCUAAUUUUUUUAGCAUGUGUCUCUUUAUUCGAUGGUCGAAAUAAACAUGUC